Molecule: long non-coding RNA, 8054 nt
Filed under: Ananas comosus (pineapple)
Lineage: Eukaryota; Viridiplantae; Streptophyta; Magnoliopsida; Poales; Bromeliaceae
Description: long non-coding RNA (ACOM_LNC001222)
Source: RNAcentral
UUAUAAUACGUGUCUCUUGAGUAGAGUCUAAUUCUAAUUCAAUUAGAAUUAUACUCCUAAUUAUAAUCCAUAUAUGCCGAAUUAAAUCUAAAUAAUAUCUAAUCCCAAUUAGAUUAGGAUUUAUCCUCAAUUUAGAUAACUACAAAUCUAAACCAAAUAUAACAAUCUCCACCUUGAUUUAAUUUGUAGUUUAGCCGCUUUUAUGUCGAGAUCGUCACAAACUUCACCUUGAAUUUAAUUUGCCUCAAUGCUCCUGUCACGCCCCGGGGCCGAUUUUAAAAGCCUUUUGAAAACAGAGUUGCGAAAAACGUGCCAUUUUUUUUUUCAAUCUGGCCCACGCGACGUACAGAUCCGCCACAAAUACAAAAUUUUCCUGUCCACUCGGACAGAGUCUCCUUUAUAUUUGCACGGCGUACCAGCUAUACAACAGGAUCUCAACCACAACCUACAUUUACCAAUCAGCAAUCAGUUCAUGACAUGCAUUCCCAUACAGCUAACGAUCCUUAGAAUGAUGCAUGCCUCUAAACACUCCUUAGGCGCUGGAUGAUGCAAUGCACAACACAACAAACAUCUUAUUUAAAAGUGCUCCCCACCCGGAAGCUUUAUUUUUUUGAAAUGUACUUCAUUCACAAAACCAUUCGAAAAUCCUUUUUAAAACGGUUUCCUACACGGAAACUCUAUUUUAAAAACCGACUACCUCGAGGGGUAGAAAACCACGAUUUCAUAAAUACAAGAAAAUCAAAACUCCAAAAUUCCAAGACCACAGAUCUAAAUAUCCAAUCUUAUGCAUAGUAGAAAACCAGUAUAACAGUUCACAACCAUUCACGCAUACAUAAGAUCGUCUAACUGAACCAUUUAUUAAGAAAACUACUAAGUGCGGGAAAGAAGUAAUCAGGGUGACGGUCGCUACUGCCGUCUAGCUAGAUCGUCCUCUCGACGUGCCCAAUACCAACUCCACGUCCGAAACACCUGAAGAAAUGGGGGGUGAGAAACCGCAACCAUGGUUUCUCAGUGGUACAAUAGAGCCACGAAGGCAAGCCGUAAUCACCGGAAACCAAAGAAAAUAGAUAAACAAAUAUAGAUGCUGAUAUGAAAAGUCUACAGUAGCUACAACAGAUAAAUAAGAAGCAAUAAACAAACCUGCUACUGUAUAGAUAACAAUGCAAAGAAUGCCUCAAAGUACUGAACAGAAACUGUACCCAAUCUGUGCCUGCUGUAUUGGUCCGCAGACCUCAAGCGCUGCCUGUCACUAACUGCACCGACCUGAUCCAUCCGCCCCACAGGACGACCCAUCCGGAUAAGUACACCUCCGAUCGUUGGCCAAACCGAUCCGGUGUCAUGAAUACCCCCAAGUGCCGUGACUAAGUCAUGCUGGUAUGCUCAAACAAAAACAAACCCGGCUAAAGCCGGUGCCUAAGCCGAAGCCAACAACGAGGGCGUACAACGCCGAACUGAAAUAGAUACUAGGGCGUACAACGCCGAACCUCGAUCAACCAGAUCGAAACACACGAUAAGAGAGUCGAUGUGUUGCCUGGACCCAAGGUCCACGGAGAUGCAAUGUACAACUACAAGCCUGCUCUACAUGUCUAUCCACAACUAUACAAAUGCAAUCAAUGAAAUACGAUAACCAAACAACUGACAUGUAGAGAUUACGAUACAGAAUGAAAGAAUAGAGGAAGGGUAAAACGGUCUCACCGACUACUAGCUCGAAGCACCCACCUGUCACUGUCGCGUCGAAAACCCGGGGUGCGCACAAUCAAUAACCGGACCUACGAAGAUCCACUAGGUCAGAACUAUCCCACAAAACCCAAAUAUACAACUCACAAACCCCCACACAGGAUCCCCGUAAUCGGUUUCCCAAAACCGAUUACCGUAACUCACCGAAAGUCCCGAAAACCACACCGGGACGCCGUCGGGACCCACUAAGUGUCCCGAACUCACCGACUCGUACAACGAGUCACCCGCUGCCCCAAAACAUUCCAAUUUGGAUGCCUUGGCAGCGAACACAAGGUCACACAACAAUACGAUCAUCGCCGGAUAAUCGUACGAAUCCGGGUUCCCAGAAGUGUCUAUUUCGACACCGGAACCCUCCGUCGCUCACCCAUCAUCACCGAACCCACUAAAUGACGAUAGUGAUAAGCCAACAAGGCUUAGCUACAACACAUAGAGCAAACAAACACCGUCGGAAAGGAUCCGAACCAAAAUCGCAUUCUUUCGGCGAAUUUCGCCGAAAAACGCACCGAAAUCGACUUUUCGAUUUCCGCAGGAGCAAACGGAUCAUGGACAAUCAGUUCAGGAGUCAAACACACUCACACACACUGCCCACAGUAGCCACACAAUGCACAAUUACAUAAAAGACCCUCUAAUUGCAUAAAAUCCCAUUAUUUUAUGUAAUUUGAGCGAUCAAGUGGUUCGUUCACGCAAAUCGAAAUUCCAAAGUCCGCAGAGACACGUACUAACAGGUCUCGACGUACCAGAGGCCGUGCUCACGAUCCGGAGCACAGCGGCUCGCUGUGGGAAGCGCGGGAGCAACCCGAAGGUUCAGCGAACAGCGCGCAGUCAAGGAAGAUCGCGCCGAACAGGACUUACCGGACACUUCUGAUCCAAGGAAAGGUGAGCACUGUGAUCAGCACUGACUAGCGGUCACCGUGCUCACCUCCGGAGGCAUCGGAACAAUCUCGGAUCGGCGAAAAAGCAAGCACAACACAGAACAGCAGCCAAAGAAAGGCUCCACAGGGUCGACACCGCAAAAACAGCGGAAUGGAGUCUCCCCGACAGAAACUAAGGUGAGCACGAUGAUCAGCAAUUAGCUACGAUCAUCGUGCUCCCUUCCAUACAGAUCGGGGAAGCUCGAGAAGCCCAGAACAACAAACAGCCCAACUAAGCCCUAUUUCAGGCUUGGCCGGAGCAACCUUGCUCCGGCCGGCCUCCGGCGGCACAGCGGCGCGCGCGGGGGCCAGGGGCGGACGCGGGGGAGGUGAGGAACACAGUGCUCAACUCGGUUGGCGACAGGAAGCGGCGGCGGCGCCGGCGGGGCAAGAUGAGCCCGCACGGGCUAGGGCACGGGUUCCGCGGCAAUGGCGGCCACGGCGGCGGUCGGGGCCGGUCGGGGACGGCGGAGGAGGGUUGCAGGAGGUAGGGGGAGGGCGGCACAGGUGGCUCAGGGCGGCGGCGGCGCCAGGAAAGGGGCUGCACACGGCUUCGGCUCGGGCUCGGGUUGGAGGGCUGCAGGCGGCUCGCCCGGCGGCAGCGGCGCUCAGGGCGGCUCGGGGCAGAGGCGGCAGACUGCCUGAGGUUGGGGAGGUGCCACAGGGGCGGCCCAGGGCUGCGGCGACGCGAGGAAGAGAUCGCAACAGGUCUCGGCCUGGGCUCGGGCUGGGCGGCUGCAGCCGGCCGAGGCGGCGGCGGCGGCGCGGUGGGGCGGCGGCGACCGGCGGUAAGGGGUGUCGAGGCUCCGUGGACGUCGGCGGGAGGGAUUCCAGGCGGCGGCGGCGCAGGAGGGAGGUCGCGAGUGGGUCUCGGCCAGGGCUCGGCUUGGGCUGGCAGAUGUGGCCCGGGGCAGCAGCGGCGGCGCAGGCGACGGCGGCGGUCGGCGGGGAUGAUCGCCGGAGCACGGGGCGACACCGAGGGAGGGUCCGAAGGUGGCGGCAGUCUCGGGUCUCCUCACAACCCGAGAGGAGAGAGGGAGAACGAAAGAAAGGGAGAGAGAGAGAAGUGGUGGCUGCGGCGGUGGUUGGCCGGCCGGGGCUCAGUCGGCGGCGGCCUGGGCGCGCGCAGCAGGUGCAGGGGAAGGAGAGGGAGGCGGCUGGGUGGUUGGCUAGGGCUAGGUUAGGGUUAGGUGGAACAAAACCCUAAAGAGCAACUAUAUAUACAAGGUACAACUUGCAAGAAAGCCCCUCAAACAUCAGUAAUUUGUACCGAGUCCCUCGCAGCACGACUAAAACGCACGAAUACCCCUCCACGUGCGAUCCCACGCGAAACGGUACAUAAAAUAUCGCGACUUUUGUGAAAAUACCGUUUUGCCACUACUGACCUCUCCUCGAUCAACGCGUAAUCUCCGCAGAUCCGUCCGUCAGAUUCGCGAACGGAUCAUACCAGUACGAUCAACACGACGGAGACAACAAAGCUGCGAUUUCGUUUCGGCUUGAUCGCCCACGGAUUCACGACAAAAUCCAACCUUCUUCCAGCAGAAGAAAUCACACACAUAAAUACAUAUAGAAUAUAUAUUUUUGGAUUUUCUCGAAAUCCGUGCGUCAAACUCAAAAUCCGUCAGCGCCACUGGUUCCAGAACAGCUGAACCGGUCGAAACGAGCUAUUGGACUGCUAUGAACGGAGUCCGGUACGAGCCAGAAGCCAACUUCCCACCGCGGCUUCUCCGGAAAAUCGAGUUACUAUUCACUUUAAGUGAAACUUGGAAAUCGCGUAGAAUUUUCGUUUUAACUCGUUUUCGCCCGAAACUUGACGAGUGCUUUUGUAAUUAAAUUACACACAAAAAUAUUGUCAACUGAGAGUUUAACUACACUUCAAAAAUCUCAGUUCGUACAGCUCCUUAACGCUCCAUACUCCGUCUUCUCCAAACGCCCCAUAGGGCCUCAAAUGCUGCUAACUACAUUCAAGUUCAAACAAUACUUGAACUUGGUAAUCGUAAGAGACUUAGUAAGCAUAUCCGCCGGAUUGUUCUCAGUACCAAUUUUCUUAACAGUCACUGUGCGUUUCCCAAUCACAUUCCGAACAAAGUGAAACUUUACAUCGAUGUGCUUUGUCCUCUCAUGAAACAUUUGAUCUUUCGACAAAUGAAUAGCACUUUGAUUGUCUGAAUAAAUAAUCGUUGGAUCCCAAUAAGAAGUAAGCUCUCCAAAUAAGUCUCUUAACCACAUAGCUUCCUUCACACCCUCUGUUAUAGUAAUAUAUUCCGCCUCCGUCGUAGACAAGGCGACAAUAGGUUGUAAUGAAGCUUUCCAACUAACUGCACAUCCGCCAAUAGAGAAUACAUAACCUGAAAGUGAUCUCCUCCUAUCCAAAUCACCUGCAAAAUCCGAAUCAUUAUAUAUGAGUUAGGUGAAGCUAUCCUGGUUGAGAAUCUCAUCUAAUUAUGUGUACAAUUUUGAGGUAAAAGUCUACAUGCCUAGCAUUGUAGCUUCUGCAAUUGUAAUGUAAAAGAGUUAAAAUAGGAAAAGUGCACCUUGUGCAUAUGCGUUCGUAUAAAAGAUUCCUUAUAUAGUAGAGGUAUAUACAUGUACUAAUUAAUCAACUUUAGGACAAAGAUGCAAGGAAUUUCGAGCCGUACACCUUUAAUUAAUUUGCUUUAGAAUUGGUUCCCUCUUAAAGUGGCAAGUAAAGAAUCAAAGUUUCCUAGCUUGAAUUUCUGAUUUCACCAAGUGGCAAGCCAAAUUAUAGACCAUUGAAGUCUGUCUGUCUCACCAAAAGUGGAGUGGAGAGUGAAUUCAUUUUUAGUAUAAAUGUUCACUUCUGUUGUUUGGCUCACCUCAUAUAACUUCAUUUUCAGUCGAUGCUUAAACUUUUCAAAACUCCGUAAUUGACUUCAGACUACUUUGGGCCGAAAUCAGUUGCGAAAAACAAAAGUGAGGAAAAAAAAUAAAAUAUUAAGUAUGGAAACUUUAGCUUUUAUGUCAUUAACUUUGUAAUGCCCCCAAUAGUCUCAUAUCGAAUGGAAUACUAACUCUGAUCAGUUUAUAUGAGGCCUAUAUGUUAGUAAUAAUAACUGGACUUAAACAUUUUGGGCCGGUGGUUUGAAUCGAACGAGUUAUUGUUGCUAGCGGAUUGGACCGUUACAAACUUUCUGCCAAACACAUAGCAAAACUCGAGAAAAAAAAUUAUUUUGAGAUUCUAGACUAUAUCCAGCAUAGGACUUCCGACUAAUAUUUGGCUUUAAUACCAAUUACAACGGCCCAACCCGCUAGCAAUAAUAACUCGUUGAACCCAAACUACUGACCCAAAAUACUUAAGUCCAAUUAUUAUUACUAGCAUGUAUGUCUUAUAUAUUCUAAUCCGAAUAAGUUUCCCACCUGAUGUGGGACUAGGACGUUACAGAAAAUAACUAAGUUUUAAUUUUAUUUUAAAUUUUUAUAAAACAAAUUAUGUUUCUCAAAAUUAAUUUACUAUUUUUUUAAAAAAAUAAAAUUAUCAGCAUGAAACGCAUGGGUCAGCAACCAAUUUAUUUUGAAAUUAAUUAGUCAAAUACUAUAUAAAUCAAAGAAUCGCCAACUCAACACCAUUAGUUUGCUUUAAAAUGAUUUUUUUUUUUUUCAAAAUUGCACGUAUAGAAUGAUACUUUCAUACCCAAAAAUAUAAUUUGUCUAGAGAGUUAAAAACAGGAAAUAAAUUUGGUAGGUAAUUACUAAAUCUAUCUCCAGAUCCAUCUCUUGUUUACUUGCUUUAGAAUUUGUUCCUUUCCAACAUAACAAGUAAGGAAUCAGACUCUUUUUUUCUUUUCUUUUUAACUCCUACCUGCCUAUAAAUACAUUCUAUUCUAGUUGUUCCCUUAGCAAGUUGAAAGCCUUAUACUCUCAUAUGGCAAGGAAGACCUAUACUAUGGAUUUGCCGAUACCGAGCUGAGUGAAUGAGCGCAUGAAGGAAUGUUUUGGAAAGCGGUAGGAAGAUACGGUGUUCGAUACUCGCCUAAAUGGACACAACCAGCCAUUUGGAUCUGUCUGGUGUUUUUUCUCCUUAACGCACAAAUAGGCAUUUAGUCAUUCGGAUUCUAUCUGGACUCUUCCUCCUUGACGCACAAAUAGACAUUUAGUCAUUCAGGUAUGCAUAUAUUUAAUUUCUUACAUAUUCUUACCACUUAUUGUUUGUUGUUUCGUUAUUUUUCUGAUUUUGUUAUUGGUUAUUGCAACUGAGGUUUAAGGCUUCUUUUUAUUCAAUAGGGAUUAAGUUUCUUAGAUAAUACAAUUAAUCGACUGUAAAAAAGAAACUCCUAACAAUAUAAGAUAACUAUUCAUUAAAAUCAAGCUUAGAAGGAAGGAAAUGAUAUUCUAAUGUGAUAUGUAAUUAAGAGAAUUUAUUAUGAUUAUAUGCCUGAACACAUUAUAUAUAAUAUCUAUUGGAUUUCGAAGGGAGUCAACACUCUAUUGCUUUAUUUUAGUUUUCCUUCGCAUUCUUUUAUGGCCUAAUUGUAAUCGCCAUUUACUUGUUCAUCCAAACUCACAACUCUUAAAACUUAGAUGAAAACUAUGCUAUAUGGUUUAUGAAACAAUAUAUAAUAGUGUUUUUUUAACAUAGCUUUCUUUUUUUCAACUAUUUGAUACUUUAGCAAUAGUUUUAAAAUCUAUAAUUUUUCAUGUCUAAACUAUGUAGGGUUCUAUAUAACCUUUGAGUGUGCGUGUGUGUGUUUGUGCAAGGAAAAAUUCUAGAAUGCAACAGGUAUAUUGAUGACGUGGCGUAACAAGCCAAUCAAAUAUCUCCUUUUAGAAAUAUAUGUUCCAUCAUAAUUAUAAAAAAAUAUUUUUAUUGUACUUUUAUUUGAAAAGAAGAAAUGUGAUUGGCUUGUUAUUGAUGACGUGGUGCAAGUGUGACAGUGUAGAAUUCCCCAUGUGAGAGAGAGAGAGAGAGAGAGAGGGAGGUAGCUGCUUCGUUUAAUUUGUUUUUAAAAAUGCGUCCAGCUAGAAAUGCAAAAUAAUUAGGCUUCGUUCAGUUUGGAUAUAAAUAAAAAUGACUUAUUUCAAAAAUAAAUAUAAAUUUAGAUAUAAAUAAGAAACUAGACCAAUUUUACAUUUAGAUGAAAAUUGGUUGUUUUUAAAAAUAAGAAAAAUUACGUUUGGAUAGAGAAAUAGAAUAAGAAAAAUAGUAAGUAGUUAUAAUGUCACGCCCCGGGGCCGAUUUUAAAAGCCAUUUUGAAAACAGAGUUGCGGAAAACGUGCCAUUUUUUAUUUUUUUUUUCAACCUGGCCCACGCGACGUACAGACCCGCCACAAAUACAAAGAUCCUCUGUCCACUCGGACAGAGUCUCCUUUGUAUUUGCACGGCGUACCAGCUAUACAACAGGAUCUCAACCACAACCUACAUUUACCAAUCAACAACCAAAGUAUGAU